RNAcentral lists this unclassified non-coding RNA (207 nucleotides) under Hevea brasiliensis (rubber tree). The record is from RNAcentral. Lineage: Eukaryota; Viridiplantae; Streptophyta; Magnoliopsida; Malpighiales; Euphorbiaceae.
GAAACAAGGAGGUUCUUCAUAUGAUUCUCUAGAGAGAUUGACAGAUUACAUUCUCUUAUUGCAGCCUUUGCGUUCUCAUUGAGCGUGCUUUUGAUAUCGUGCCCUUAAGAAAUAAGGGUAUGUAUAUUAGGUACUGCCUAAUAAUUAAUUAUGUAAUAAAAUGAGUAAUGAAGUGUAGUAUAACUAUUAUUUGAUUAUAAAAUAAAA